AAUGGGGGCAACCCUGACGCAGCAACGCCGCGUGAGUGAUGAAGGCUUUCGGGUCGUAAAGCUCUGUCUAGAGGGAAGAAAUGCAGUGUGGUUAAUACCCAUGCUGCUUGACGGUACCUCUGAAGGAAGCACCGGCUAACUCCGUGCCAGCAGCCGCGGUAAUACGGAGGGUGCAAGCGUUGUUCGGAAUUAUUGGGCGUAAAGCGCGUGCAGGCGGUUUGUUAAGUCUGAUGUGAAAGCCCCGGGCUCAACCCGGGAAGUGCAUUGGAAACUAGCAGACUUGAAUACGGGAGAGGGUAGUGGAAUUCCGAGUGUAGGAGUGAAAUCCGUAGAUAUUCGGAGGAACACCGGUGGCGAAGGCGGCUGCCUGGACCGAUAUUGACGCUGAGACGCGAAAGCGUGGGUAGCAAA
Molecule: ribosomal RNA, 411 nt
Filed under: uncultured bacterium
Lineage: Bacteria
Description: bacterial SSU rRNA
Rfam family: Bacterial small subunit ribosomal RNA
Source: RNAcentral